This 253-nucleotide ribosomal RNA is filed under the name uncultured bacterium. RNAcentral describes it as "partial 16S ribosomal RNA". It matches the Rfam family "Bacterial small subunit ribosomal RNA", at positions 524 to 776 of the family's 1533-position model. The record is from RNAcentral.
UACGUAGGGAGCAAGCGUUGUCCGGAAUCAUUGGGCGUAAAGCGCGCGUAGGCGGCCUUGUAAGUCCGUUGUGAAAGUCAAAGGCUCAACCUUUGAAAGCCGAUGGAUACUGCAAGGCUAGAGUUCGGAAGAGGCGAGUGGAAUUCCUGGUGUAGCGGUGGAAUGCGCAGAUAUCAGGAGGAACACCAAUAGCGAAGGCAGCUCGCUGGGACGAUACUGACGCUAAGGCGCGAAAGCGUGGGGAGCGAACAGG